GGGGGGGGGGCGUCUCGGCAGGCAGGUGGCGAUGGGGCGAGGGAGAGGGCCCCUGGAAAGCAGCCUAUGCUUAUUGACUGCGGUUCGCCUCUGAUCCUGGAGCUGGCAAGGGAGCCCCCGGCGGGUAAGUUUGGAUUUUGCGCCCGUGUGUGUGGGUGCGCUGGGCAGGCCGGUAAUUCGAGGUGGCGGCACUCCUGCUCAGGGGCACCUGGCGAACUCAGCAGGCACAGGCGGUAAGGGUCCCAGACGUGUCCUGGCCGCUAGCUAUCAAGGGGGCGGGGGGCGGUGGUGACCCCCUUUGGUGAGACCGUUGGUGGUGAGGAGCUCCCCAGAAGAAGGUGUAGGAAGAGGAAGCCAGGGCUGGGAUGGAGGGCCCACAAGAUCAAGAGAGGGAGGGAGCGAGCUGAGCGGGGAAGGAGCUCCAGCAGUCCUCCAGUCCCACAGACGUGUGCCUGGCAGCCCCUGUGGGCCAGGCCCCUGCAGGCAUUGGCGAUAUGGCAGGGAAGAAAAUGGCAAAACUCGCCCCAUGUGGGUCCAGGCCUAGUGGCAGGGCGCACACGACAGGACAGCAAACAUCUUAAAUGAAGGAUGCUAGAAGGUGUUCAUCGGUGAAAACCUUGAAGGAGAUGAGAGCGUGUACCGGGUGGAGGGAACAACCAGUGCAAAGGGCCUGAGGUAUGAGUGGACUGGUGUGUGGAAGGGAAUGCGCAGAGGACGGUGUGGCAGGAGCAGAGGGAGCAAGCAGGUGGGAGGGGGGCAGGGCGAGGCCAGGAGGGGCCACAUGGGUCUACUCUGAGUCAGAUGGGCACCCCGGGGAGGGCCGUGAGCAGGCAAACAGAACCCCAUUAGGAGGUGGCCCUGUUUACCAUCAGUUCAGCCUCUGCCCCUCCCCCGCCCCCCACCGCCCAGGACAGGGGAGACCCCAGUUGCAAGGCUGAUCCUUAGAUGAUCCUUAGAGGGCUUUGUUGGGUGGAGCCGCGUGGAAGGCCCUGGGGUGACCUGCGGCCUCCCUAGGCCCAUGGCCCUGGGGCCGACCCACCCAGCGGGCUGCAAGCGCUGAGGUCCCCAGGGAAGGCUGCCGGAGCCAGGAGGAGGCAGCCGGGGUCUGGAAGUGCCAGGCCUCAGAGGAAGUCCGCCAGGAAGGAAGAAGCCUGACUGCAAGAGGCCUGGCGCCACUCCUCCUCACAGAUGAAGAAGCCCCAGUUCCUGAUCCCAGUUCCUGUGUGGGGUCGCCUCCUGCCUUUCCUGGGGUUUGUUUUCUGUGUUCUUUUCCUGGGGAAAUAGCCCCAUCUCCUGGUCUUCUGUAGGCACCAGCACGGAAGCCCACUGGCUGCCUCUUUUUUUUUUUUUUUUCUUUAAUUUUGUUUAAAUCUUUCUCUAUUUUUGAGAGGGACAGAGAGCCACAGAGCGCAAGCAGGGGACGGACACAGAGAGAGGGAGGCACAGAAUCCCAAGCAGGCUCCUGGCUCCGAGCUGUCAGCACAGAGCCCAGAGCCCGAGGCGGGGCUCGAACUCACGAACCAAACCAUGAGAUCAUGACCUGAGCCCAAGUCGGAGGCUUAACCGACUGAGCCACCCGGGUGCCCCUCCCUUUUCAUUUUGAACACCGGCAAGCAAACAGACGAAAUCGAGAGGACAGUCUAAGGCAGCGCAGGUGCCCACCUCCCGGGGCUAGCGGCGGCCUCCAGCUUGCCUUGUUUGCUUGUUUCUCUCUUUCUCGGUUUCUCCCUCCCUUUGUCCUUCUAUCCUUCGCUCCCUGCUUUUCUCGCUCUCUCGCUCUCUCUUUCUCUCUCUCCUUUUCCCUUUCCUUUGUUUUUGCUGAAAUAGUUUACAGGAAGCGUGCAUACCAUUUUCUCCCUACGUGCUUCAAGAAGGAAGGACAUUUCCUCCCAUGACCCAGGGCCGUUAUCCAUCCAACCCACGCCCGGCGCAGGCUCCUGCUGUCGUCUGACAGCCGCUGCACAGCCACCCUCCAGGCCCCCACUGCCUUUGACUCCUCUUUCCUUCACGCCAGCAUCUCAUCAAGGACUUCGUUACACUUGACCAUUGGCCGUCUGGUUAUCUUGUCAUCUGAAGCAGCCUCUCUCCCCAGCCUCGUCUUUUCCCCCUGGCGCUGAGACACGCAGGAGACCGGGAACAGCCCACCUUCUAGACUGGGCCAGUUGCUCCCUUGUAGCUAGUGUCUUUAAGUGGUCCCUCUGUCCCCAGUAUCCUUUAUAAACCGGGUGUGGGGGCACAAGGCUGCACUAGAAUUGGGUUCAGCUUUGGCAAGAGCCUUGUGCCCUCCCUGGGGUGGCAUCGUCACAGGAGGCGUGUCCGACCUGUGUCCAGCAGCCCUUCACUUAGCUUUCUGUCUCGGGACCAGCGGUAAGCAGGGGAAGACAUCUUGACAUCGUGCGGCUAUCCAUGCCUCCUAGGCCUGUCACCCGGCGGUUUUCGCGUCCACUCCGCCUUAAGGGAUUCUUUCCAUCUGAUUAAUGUAAAUGUCUUCAUCAGACACAUGAGUUUAUUUCUUCUGGGCUAGUGUUUGUUGACAGCUCGUCACUGGUGAUAAGGGACCUUGCGGCAAUUUAAAUGCUCCGGGACCCCGUCCCCCCAUCCUCUCUCCUGUAGCAUGAAUAAGCUGGAGUCACCCACGCAGCAAAAGCAUCCUGGGCCCGCUCCCCACCAGCCACUGCCUGGCUCUUCCGCUUCCCCACUGGGGAAUUGCACAUUCUGGCCUCCAGCUGGGUGCGGAGCACAUCCUUGGAGCAAACUUUCUUUGGCCCCGCUGUUUCCUGGCACUGAGAGCCGAUGCGGAGGAGUCAGACGCUGUCUGCUCUGUCCCUGACAGACUCUUCCUGCCCUUGGUGUGGAGUGGUGUGUGUGUGUUGGGAGUUUUUCUGUAAGGACCCUGACCUGAGAGGAAAAGGGGUCAGCAGUGGAGCUUCCGGGGAUGGCUGGCAAGUCGGGGUGCAGGGGUCCUGCCCCCAUGGUAAGAAAGGAAUGAGAAAGAGGAAGCCAAGGCUCACCGGAGGUGGGCAGGACUCCCUGUCUGGCAGCCCACCGCCCAGGUGAGGGGAGAGGGCGGCAGCUCGGUCUGGGAAAGUGUUAUGGGUUGGACUGUGUCCCCCAAGAAACAUGUGUUCGAGUUUUGCCUGCCAGCAGCUGUGACUGGGACCUAACCUGGAUGAGGUGGUGCUGGACUAGGGCGGGCCUCAUCUCGCACUUGGCUUUUGGCAGUCCCCUUAGCUUGUUUGUACCUCCGCGAUGGCAGCCAUUCUCUUGAAGGCCGGACCCAAGGUGAGCGGGGCUCCCUGACCGUCUCCGUCCGCCCCCUCAUCAUGCCCCAGCCUCACAGCUCUGGCAACCCCGAGUCUCCCCUUAGCUGCUGAGUUCUCUGAGUCCCCACCCCCACCCCAUGUUUGGUUGCCGCCCGCCCAUCCUGCGACCCACGGGGCUGAAUUCCCCUGCAGCCCCGGGAAUUUCUCA
This is a long non-coding RNA of Acinonyx jubatus (cheetah), 3471 nucleotides long. RefSeq lists it as uncharacterized. NCBI's taxonomy places the organism in Eukaryota, Metazoa, Chordata, Mammalia, Carnivora, Felidae. The record is from RefSeq and is a predicted model, not a curated record. The transcript is spliced from 3 exons.